Molecule: long non-coding RNA, 2160 nt
Filed under: Oreochromis niloticus (Nile tilapia)
Lineage: Eukaryota; Metazoa; Chordata; Actinopteri; Cichliformes; Cichlidae
Description: lncRNA (ENSONIG00000039695.1)
Source: RNAcentral
AUGAGGACACACCCACAUCUGUUCCAUACUGCAGCCAUUGAUGGUGUUACAGCUCUGAGUCAGAUUUGGGCCAUCAGACGCACACACUGGAAAACCAGCACCUGGACUUCAUGCAGGAGAGACGGCCUCAGUGAUGUAGAAUUCAUCAGCAGCUGUGGAGAGAUGCAUUUGAAUAUCUUCUGGUUCCACUUUUCCUUACCUGGAAGCUGAGUAUUGCUGAUUUCUGACAAGGACACAAACCUCAGUGCUUAUCAUGGGUGUUACAUCCUCUGUGCAGCAAUUCCAGAGAAAACGAGAGAGCAACGACCACUCAUUAAGACCAGCCAGAAAUCUGUCCCUUUCUGGCAGCUGUGGAAACUUCCAUUAAGAAAGUUUGCAUUCUUAGAACAAUGCUGGAUCAUGUGUGAUGUGUCAUCAUAUGAGGAUAUUACAUUUUGCCUUAAUUCUGCUCAAUUAAGUGUUUUGAUCGUUGAUCCAGUAUGGCAGCUUUGUGUUGUGCUGCAAGUUAAAACCCAUUGUCCUCAUGAGCACAGCAUCUAACAACUCUCCUUAAAAAAAGUCGAUUGACUUUAACUGGACACAAUGGUUUCCAGUGGGAGAUACAUUCAUCACUCAUCCGUGACACUGGAGAAGUCACCUGGAUGAGUGAUAAAACAAUUUUCCAUGGAAAAUCCAGAGGAACUAAACUUUGUUGUUGUUUCUUUGGGCUCAAUUUUGCCUGAGGCUGAAAUUGAGCCCAAAAUGUUUUCUUCUUUCAGAAGAAUGUUUUCUUCUUUCAGAAGAAAACAUUUUGCCAAUAAUCAGAUAAAAAGAUUGUUGAACCAGGUGGUAUUCUCUGGAGUUUAAGACCAAAACUGAACUCCGUGAAUUGACAUUAGACUGGAAAUUCAUAAGAUGAAUAGAAAUACUGCUGAAGCUGAAUGAUAUGUGUGUGUAUGUAUGUGUGUGUGAUCUUUGUUUUCUCCAAUUCACCAGGUCUGUAAAGUUCAGUAUGACUGUGGUACAUGAUACAAAAGAAUAAAUACAGAAGAAUAACAACUUUAUGUGAAUAACUUUACUCUUCUUAAAAAUAACUCAUAAAACAAGUAAAAGUACAAAUGUGUACAAGUUAGAGACUUCCUCAGUAAGUUUACACUCUUUUGGAGUGAUUUUAAUUGUGUGUUAAAGAAGAAAGAGAUUAGAGGUAAAGUAGAGGAUGCAGAGUCCAUCACUGAGGCCGUCUCUCCUGCAUGAAGUCCAGGUGCUGGUUUUCCAGUGUGUGCGUCUGAUGGCCCAAAUCUGACUCAGAGCUGUAACACCAUCAAUGGCUGCAGUAUGGAACAGAUGUGGGUGUGUCCUCAUCUCCCAUAGGAGUCCAAAUCGUCAUCAAACAGCCCUACAGACACAAAAACAUGUGAAAAUAUAAACAACCAGACUAUCAGCAGUGAUUUAAGUACUUUAAGACCUCUGUGAAAAUCAUUUACAGUAUAUAUCACAGAAUUUAAGGCCUUUAUAAUCACAGAGCAUACAGAGAAAAGUACUAAACUGAAUCAAUUUCAGCUUUCAUUUUUCAUGAUGUAUAUUGUAUUAAUAAUUAAAUUUCAUUAUCUGUAUCUUUACCACACAUUUGCCACACAGGUGUAGAUACUAUAGGUUCGGUGAAUGCUUACAUUGCACUGAUUAGAAUAUACUGGACAUUCAAAGCUAAGAUUCAGCGCACUGUGUUAGAGGCUGGGAUUUGAUGAAUUCAUCAUAUAUACAACCUUUGAUCAUCAUUUAUGUCCAGUUGAGAAUGAAUCUGUGCACUCACAUAUUAAAUGAACUGAAAUCAGUAGUGUGAUCUCCAGUCUUUAUAUGUUGAAUGAGAGAACUGACAGCUGUUAUUUUAAUCAGCCUGUCUCAGUUGUUUUAACUCUAAGUACCACAGAGUAAUGUGGUAACAUCUGGACUGACGAGUUUACUGUCAGCAUUUGUAAUCGCUAGUUUAAAGGCUGUAGGUUGCAGCCAUUGCUCUAACACCGUAUAAAUGUAACAGGGCUCAGUGCUGGUUCUAACAGUCUGAGCUGCUUCCAGCUUUAUUUGUGAAGAGCACAGCAGCUUAUAAAACACGUAGCGAGCUCGUACAGCUGCGACGUAAAACUUUCAUUAGCUAAGAUGAUCUUAAAAUAACGGGGCUACGUG